GAAAAAACAUAUCUUUUGGAUUAACAGAAUGCCGUGGUGACAUCCAUGAUCGGAUACAAAUCCUGUCUACUUCUAAUUCAAAUACGGCCAUAUAUGGGCAACUUCUAUCAAACAGACCUGCAAUAAAACCUCUGCAUUUUGUGUUCACCUUUAAAGCAACCGAAAGAUAAUGCUUGUAUAAUUUAGACAAGGAAAGGACUGAAGCUCGGGAAUACUGCAGGAAGCCAUAACCUGGAGCUGGAGCUGCUGGUAAAAUUAUGCAGAUAGAG
Molecule: long non-coding RNA, 269 nt
Filed under: Struthio camelus australis
Lineage: Eukaryota; Metazoa; Chordata; Aves; Struthioniformes; Struthionidae
Description: lncRNA (ENSSCUG00000016075.1)
Source: RNAcentral